This 257-nucleotide ribosomal RNA is filed under the name uncultured Anaerococcus sp. RNAcentral describes it as "partial 16S ribosomal RNA". It matches the Rfam family "Bacterial small subunit ribosomal RNA", at positions 99 to 355 of the family's 1533-position model. The record is from RNAcentral. Lineage: Bacteria; Bacillati; Bacillota; Tissierellia; Tissierellales; Peptoniphilaceae.
CGGACGGGUGAGUAACGCGUGAGUAACCUGCCUUACACAAGGGGAUAGCCGUUGGAAACGACGAAUAAUACCCUAUGACAUAAACUCUUCGCAUGAGGAGCUUAUCAAAGAUUUAUCGGUGUAAGAUGGACUCGCGUCUGAUUAGCUAGUUGGUGAGGUAACGGCCCACCAAGGCGACGAUCAGUAGCCGGCUUGAGAGAGUGUACGGCCACAUUGGGACUGAGACACGGCCCAGACUCCUACGGGAGGCAGCAGCC